Molecule: long non-coding RNA, 1624 nt
Filed under: Olea europaea (common olive)
Lineage: Eukaryota; Viridiplantae; Streptophyta; Magnoliopsida; Lamiales; Oleaceae
Description: long non-coding RNA (OEUR_LNC004237)
Source: RNAcentral
GGCUAUCCGAACAUUCAGCAUAUCUUUUCUUCUCUAAAAUUCCAUACUAGUUCUCACGCUGGAGGUACAACGGAGAAGGAAGCCCCAACCACAUUUUGCAAGUAACAUUUGUUUGACGGAGUUGCAGAACCACCUAGCGCUGCCAAGAGGCACGAAGGUGUUGUUUCAUAACUAUUUCACCAAUCAAACAAUUUAUUUCAAUAAUUCAUUCUAUUAAACAAGUAUAGCUCGAAUUAACUAAACACGUCAGUAAGAGAUUAUGUGAUCAUCGAUUAUUAAGCAAAUUAGCCCAUGUUUGAGUCACAUUUUAGGAAAAAAUGCAUUAUUCAUGUCAAAUCAAUGAGAAAUGUGUGGUUAAAAAAUAAGAAAACGAUUUAGAUUUGCGUGUAAUAUUAUUUUGUUGAAGAAUGUGUGGUUAAAAUGAUGUCAAAUCACUGUUGAAAAAUGUAUUUUUUUGAAAACAAUGUGACUCAAACAAGCCGAAGAUUUGGGAUUGGGGAAUAUGUUGGAGUUGAAAGGGAAAAAAAAAAUUAAAUAAAAAAUAAGUUACCCAAUAUGUAAAUUGUCUUCUUUAUUAUCUUUUUUCUUAGAAGAAAUUUUGAAGAUGAAUUUUGAAAAUAAAAAUCUCCAAAAUUUUACGGGGCCCUAUGACCCCACUAGACCUUUCCUAGCUCCGCCACUAGGAGCAAUCUAACCUGGUAAAAACGAGUAGGAGGUAACUCACGAGAAGGAUUAUAGUUAUGAUGGGCUUCACAAAUUUUAUGAAUGAGUAUAGAGUGAUACGAAGUAUGAAGAAAACUCACGAGAAGGAGAAUUAAAUUAUUUCACUCUUAUUUGUUAAUUAUUUGUAAACAUGACCUUGUUGGUUUGCCCUUUUUGGCCCAUUUUCCGUUUUCCGUUUUCAAAAACUCGGAAAAUGCGUUUGGUCCGUUGUUUUUGAAAAUACAUUUUCGAAAACGAGUUAAAAUUUAUAACUGAAAACGCAAAAUGACUUUUUAGCGUUUUGAGCGUUUUCAGUUAUAAAUGUUGAAAACGCUCAAAACGUGAAAAACAGACCAUUUUCGGGAAAAACUAAAACUUGUUUUGAAAAUAAAAAUGGAAACCAACCGCACCCUAAGUUAUUCUAAACCGUAAAAAACAUAUAAAAUUUAACAUAAAUUGUAAUGUAUAGUAUUAUCCAAAAUUAUAACUCAACAUUUUAUAAAUCUGCUAAUUAAUAUUAAUGGGUUGAUACAUAAUCUAUGACUUCCCUCUUUCACGUGGUAAUCUACCAUUAUUUUGGUAACUGUUAGGGCUCGUAUCCGAAGCGAUCAAAGGAGGCCACGUUGAAGUCAUGUGGAGACACUACACAUAGACAUCUGGCAAUCAACGAAAUUGAAGCAGGUUUAAAGAGUAUCUUUAGGAAUGAUUGAUGUAACAUUUGCAUUAAUGAAUGUUAGAAGUGUCAGGACGGGAUGCAGGGCGAUUGAUCCCUUGUCAAUGUAAUUAAUGUAUAACAGAGAGUGAUGUGAGGCUCCGGCUGCUAGGAUGAGGCCUCGUGUUGUUGAUCCAACAACAACCACGUCGACCUUAACUCUAUAAAUAACAGCUCUUGUAAUAUGUAAAGGGAUUGGAAGAAAUGCAC